This 378-nucleotide ribosomal RNA is filed under the name uncultured bacterium. RNAcentral's name for it is "partial 16S ribosomal RNA". It matches the Rfam family "Bacterial small subunit ribosomal RNA", at positions 338 to 713 of the family's 1533-position model. The record is from RNAcentral.
CCUACGGGAGGCAGCAGUGAGGAAUAUUGGUCAAUGGACGAGAGUCUGAACCAGCCAAGUAGCGUGAAGGAUGACUGCCCUAUGGGUUGUAAACUUCUUUUAUAUGGGAAUAAAACGUUCCACGUGUGGGAUUUUGUAUGUACCAUAUGAAUAAGGAUCGGCUAACUCCGUGCCAGCAGCCGCGGUAAUACGGAGGAUCCGAGCGUUAUCCGGAUUUAUUGGGUUUAAAGGGAGCGUAGAUGGGUUGUUAAGUCAGUUGUGAAAGUUUGCGGCUCAACCGUAAAAUUGCAAUUGAUACUGGCAGUCUUGGGUACAGUUAAGGUAGGCGAAAGUGGUGGUGUAGCGGUGAAAUGCUUGGAUAUCACGAAAAACUCCGAU